GAGCUGAGAUGAGCUGGGCUGAGCUGAGCUGAGUUGAGCUGAAGUGAGAUGAGUUGAGCUGAGGUGAGCUGAGGUGAG
This 78-nucleotide microRNA precursor is filed under the name Dasypus novemcinctus (nine-banded armadillo). RNAcentral's name for it is "miRNA (ENSDNOG00000042018.1)". Lineage: Eukaryota; Metazoa; Chordata; Mammalia; Cingulata; Dasypodidae. The record is from RNAcentral.